RNAcentral lists this ribosomal RNA (753 nucleotides) under uncultured bacterium. Its description in RNAcentral is "bacterial SSU rRNA". It matches the Rfam family "Bacterial small subunit ribosomal RNA", at positions 8 to 755 of the family's 1533-position model. The record is from RNAcentral.
AGAGUUUGAUCCUGGCUCAGAUUGAACGCUGGCGGCAGGCCUAACACAUGCAAGUCGAGCGGAUGAAGGGAGCUUGCUCUCUGAUUCAGCGGCGGACGGGUGAGUAAUGCCUAGGAAUCUGCCUGGUAGUGGGGGACAACGUUUCGAAAGGAACGCUAAUACCGCAUACGUCCUACGGGAGAAAGCAGGGGACCUUCGGGCCUUGCGCUAUCAGAUGAGCCCAGGUCGGAUUAGCUAGUAGGUGAGGUAAUGGCUCACCUAGGCGACGAUCCGUAACUGGUCUGAGAGGAUGAUCAGUCACACUGGAACUGGAGACACGGUUCAGACUCCUACGGGAGGCAGCAGUGGGGAAUAUUGGACAAUGGGCGAAAGCCUGAUCCAGCCAUGCCGCAUGUGUGAAGAAGGUCUUCGGAUUGUAAAGCACUUUAAGUUGGGAGGAAGGGCAGUAAGUUAAUACCUUGCUGUUUUGACGUUACCAACAGAAUAAGCACCGGCUAACUUCGUGCCAGCAGCCGCGGUAAUACGAAGGGUGCAAGCGUUAAUCGGAAUUACUGGGCGUAAAGCGCGCGUAGGUGGUUCAGCAAGUUGGAGGUGAAAUCCCCGGGCUCAACCUGGGAACUGCCUCCAAAACUACUGAGCUAGAGUACGGUAGAGGGUAGUGGAAUUUCCUGUGUAGCGGUGAAAUGCGUAGAUAUAGGAAGGAACAAGAGUGGCGAAGGCGACUACCUGGACUGAUACUGACACUGAGGUGCG